AUGUGUAACGCCCCAUUCGUGCACCCGAACUACAUUGUUGAGUUGCAUGGAAAGCUGGCAUUGGUAGCGAGGACCUGGCAUGGCAUCAGCCGUGUACCUUCUUUCAGGGUGUUUAAGCUUGUUGACGACUCAACGACGGGGCAUGCUGGCAUGUGGGAGGAAGUAAUGAGCUUGGGUGAUUGCGCUUUGUUUUUGGGGGGCAAAUGGUCCAAAGCAGUGUACAUCCCAAUGACCGGACGCGGCGAGGUGCAAAGAAGCUGCGUCUAUGAUGAUGAUGCAACAUACUUGACGAGUUUUGACUGCCAUGGUGACAGUGUGUAUCCUUUGCAAGAGAGUAAUAGUGUCAUGCCGACGAUAAAAUCAGUGGGAUCUUAUGAAGUUGUCCGCUCGCCUGGCAUGUGGAUUCUUCCUCCAAAUUUCGAGCUUAUCAAGACUAGUCAAGUGUAUUCCGCAAAAAGAAAAAAGAAGAGACUAGUCAAGUGUAGGUCCUUUAAAUUUAUUCCUGGUGUAUAA
RNAcentral lists this ribosomal RNA (513 nucleotides) under Triticum aestivum (bread wheat). RNAcentral describes it as "partial small subunit ribosomal RNA". The record is from RNAcentral. Lineage: Eukaryota; Viridiplantae; Streptophyta; Magnoliopsida; Poales; Poaceae.